CUUAACAGAAUCCAAAGGUUUGAGAUCUUCCUCCAUAAAGAUAGUUAGCAUCGUGCCACCUACAUUAUCCUCGAAUAUACACUGAUCACCAAUUGCUUUCAGUCUCUUAAGCACGCGAUCAAAGCCAAGGGCCCCCAUUUAACAAGCAUCGACAUAGCUGUCCCUGAAUCCCUCACUGGUCCUCCUCCCAAAGGAGCUCAUGAUGUCAAAUUAACUGCCCAACAAGUCACCGACCUUAUAUACGUCGAGGAGGAGGUCAUACUUUCCGAUGAAGAGCAAGCGGAACAGGUACAGGUGCCCACCUACAUUGAUCUCGAAGAUUCGAAGAUUUCAAUAGGCCUGACUACACAGAGCAUUCUGAUGCUAGUUCCAGACCUCAAGUUCCAGCCUGCAUUAGUGUUAACUAAGAAGGCUCAGAUGUACUUGAAGGAAUGGUGAUCCAGAAGAAUACGCCUAACUUUCGCCUUCGAGCCCUCAACUUUCGUUCUUGAUUAAUAAAAACAUCCCUGGCAAAUGCUUUCGCAGUUGUUCAUCUUUAAUAAAUCCAAGAAUUUCACCUCUGACUAUGAAAUACGAAUGCCCCUGACUGUCCCUGUUAAGCAUUACUCCGAUCUCAAAGGCUAACAGAAUAGGACUGAAAUCCUAUGAUGUUAUCCUAUGCUAAUGUAUCCAAAGCGUAGGCUUACUUUGAGCACUCUAAUUUCUUCAAAGUAACAGCACCAGAGGUACGACCCGGCCGGUUAAGGCCAGGAGCGCAUCACUGGCUCCCUCUUUGGAAUCAAACCCUAAUUCUCCGUCACCCGUGAACACCAUAGUAGGCCACUAUCCUACCAUCGAAAGUUGAUAGGGUAGAAAUUUGAAUGAUGUGUCAUUGGCACAAUGGCCGUGCGAUCCGUCGAGUUAUCAUGAAUUAGCAAAGCAGCGAGCAGAGCCUGCAUCGGCCUUUUAUCUAAUAAAUGCAUCCCUUCCAGAAGUCGGGGUUUGUUGCACGUAUUAGCUCUAGAAUUACUAUGGUUAUCUGAGUAGCAGGUACCAUUAAACAAACUAUAACUGAUUUAAUGAGCCAUUCGUAGUUUCACAGUCUGAAUUAGUUCAUACUUACACAUGCAUGGCUUAAUCUUUGAGACAAGCAUAUGACUAGUAGCAAGAUCAACCAGGUAGCAUUCCUUGUCGAUGCCGAUGCCGCCUGGAGGCCCUGGCUCGCUCGAGGACAAGGAAGGGCAUGAACGAGCACGGCGAUCGAACAGUUGACUUUGAACUGGUACGAACAAGGGAAAUCUGAUUGUUUAAUUAAAACAAAGCAUUGUGAUGGUCCCUACGGAUGCUCACGCAAUGUGAUUUCUGCCUAGUGCUCUAAAUGUCAAAGUGAAGAAAUUCAACCAAGCGCGGGUAAAUGGCGGGAGUAAUUAUGACUCUCUUAAGGAAGCCAAAUGCCUCGUCAUCUAAUUAGUGUUGCGCAUGAAUGGAUUAACGAGAUUCCCACUGUCCCUUCUACUAUCCUGUGAAACCACAGCCAAGGGAACGGGCUUGACAGAAUCAGUGGGGAAAGAAGACCCUGUUGAGCUUGACUCUAGUCCGACUUUGUGAAAUGACUUAAGAGGUGUAGGAUAAGUGGGAGCCGAAAGGUGAAAGUGAAAUACUACUUUUAAUGUUAUUUUACUUAUUCAGUGAAUCGGAAGAGGGGCACUGCCCCUCUUUUUGGACCCAAGGCUCGCCUCGGCGGGCCAAUCCGGGUGGAAGACAUUGUCAGGUGGGGAGUUUGGCUGGGGCGGCACAUUUGUUAAAAGAUAACGCAGGUGUCCUAAGAUGAGCUCAAUGAGAACAGAAAUCUUGUGUGGAACAAAAGGGUAAAAGCUCGUUUGAUUCUGAUUUCUAGUAUGAAUACGAACCGUGAAAGCGUGGCCUAUCGAUCCUUUAGUAGACCUUCGAAAUUUGAAACUAGAGGUGUCAGAAAAAUUACCUCAUGGAUAACUGGCUUGUGGCAGCCAAGCGUUCAUGGGGACAUUGCUUUUUGAUCCUUCGACGUCGGCUUUUCCUAUCAUUGUGAAGCAGAAUUCACCAAGUGUUGGAUUGUUCACCCACCAAUAGGGAAUGUGAGUUGGGUUUAGAUCAUUGUGAGACAGGUUAGUUUUACCCUACUGAUGACAGCGUCAAAAUAGUAAUUCAACCUAGUACAAGAGGAAUCAUUGAUUCGCACAAUUGGUCAUCACACUUGGUUGAAAAGCCAGUGGCGCGAAGCUACCGUGCGCUGGAUUUUUACUAAACGCCUCUAAGUCAGAAUCCGGGCUAGAAGUGAUGUGUGCGCCCGUCACUCGAUUGCCGACCUGCAGUAGGGGCCCUCGGGCCCCUAGAGGCAUGUGUCUUUUGCCAAGCCCCUGCAGCGGAUGAGCCGCAUGGGUCACCAUGAAGUAUAAUUCCCACCGAGUGACGGGUAGAAUUCUUUGUAGACAACUUAAAUACACGACAGGGUAUUGUAAGUGGCAGAGUGGCCUUGUUGCCAUGAUCCACUGAGAUUCAGACCUGUGUCGCUUUGAUUCGU
Molecule: ribosomal RNA, 2539 nt
Filed under: Quercus lobata
Lineage: Eukaryota; Viridiplantae; Streptophyta; Magnoliopsida; Fagales; Fagaceae
Description: eukaryotic LSU rRNA
Rfam family: Eukaryotic large subunit ribosomal RNA (bases 989-2539)
Source: RNAcentral